AUUUUUAGUCUUCAGCUGAACUACUGCCAGUGUGCUGCGCUGCAUGCUGGGACUGUACAGCCAGGAGGUACUGUGUUAAACUCUCUCACAUAAGGAUGUGCAGUGAGCAGGACUUCAUCUUCAAUCACCCAAAAGAAAAGUGAAGGAGAAAGCCCACUUUUGCCUGGUGAGCCUCAAAGUCUUAGAGGACACAACGACCAAUUCCAUCAGGAUUUUGUUUAAGGAAAAAAUGAGAUGAAUAGUAUUUAAUGUAAAAUAUCUAUCAACAUUUGUUUACAAAGACAAAAAACCUGGAAGCCAAUGUCCGGAACUGUUUUCUCCUGUCUCACUUCUUUCCCAGCAUGUUACUGAAGACACUGGAAAAAAGAGAAGGGCUGAAUCAGUUUGGAAAACUGUGGAUUCUUCUGAACACUUGGACACUGCUAGCUUCCCAUGUGUGGGAGGAAUAUUUUACUGCCCAUCAACCCACUGCUUGAACAAUUUAAUCAGGUUGUUAAAACAAUUUAACCCUGGAGAAGAUUAGCUCAGAAGAAGAUACCUUUUCUGCCUCAAAAGCUACACCCAUUGUCCCAUGAUCUCUCUCUCUCAGUCUCAUAGACAAAGGUGUAAUAAAAUGGAUCCUUGCCCACGUGAAAGAGCCUCC
This 643-nucleotide long non-coding RNA is filed under the name Chrysemys picta bellii (western painted turtle). RNAcentral's name for it is "lncRNA (ENSCPBG00000024099.1)". The record is from RNAcentral. Lineage: Eukaryota; Metazoa; Chordata; Testudines; Emydidae.